Dermochelys coriacea (leatherback sea turtle) is the source of this 314-nucleotide long non-coding RNA. RefSeq lists it as uncharacterized. The record is from RefSeq and is a predicted model, not a curated record. NCBI's taxonomy places the organism in Eukaryota, Metazoa, Chordata, Testudines, Dermochelyidae. The transcript has 3 exons.
UGACUAUUAGUGGAAUGGAAAGAGUGUUAUCCUCAAAACAUGAGAUAACUACAUCAUUUGUUUUUUCCCAAAUACAGAACAAAAAUACGUAUUGAACACUUCUGCCAUUUCUGAAUUAUUACUGGACAUUGAUCUGUAAGCAUCAAGAUCAUUUUCUUCCAAGUUACCAGUGACUCGGAAACAGGUUAUGCAGACAUCACUAAGAGAGCAACACAGAGUCAGUCCAUGUGGAGAAAAGCAGGGUAGCUCAUUAUUGUGCAUGCAGCAUACCUUUUAUGAGGUAGCGGUGGCAAAAUGAUGUGGUCCUAGAUCAG